RNAcentral lists this ribosomal RNA (257 nucleotides) under uncultured bacterium. RNAcentral's name for it is "partial 16S ribosomal RNA". It matches the Rfam family "Bacterial small subunit ribosomal RNA", at positions 793 to 1055 of the family's 1533-position model. The record is from RNAcentral.
GUCCUGGCCUAACGAUGAAUGCUUGGUGUGGCGGUAUCGAUCCCUGCCGUGCCGAAGUUAACGCGAUAAGCAUUCCGCCUGGGGAGUACGGUCGCAAGGCUGAACUCAAGGAAUUGACGGGGCCCGGCACAAGCGGUGGAGCAUGUGGUUCAAUUCGACGCAACGCGAAGAACCUUACCUGGGCUCGAAAUGUAGAUGACCAUCGGCGAAAGUCGACUUCCGCAAGGACAUCUGUAUAGGUGCUGCAUGGCUGUCGU